RNAcentral lists this ribosomal RNA (906 nucleotides) under uncultured archaeon. RNAcentral's name for it is "bacterial SSU rRNA". It matches the Rfam family "Archaeal small subunit ribosomal RNA", at positions 21 to 903 of the family's 1478-position model. The record is from RNAcentral.
CCCUACUGCUAUCGGGGUGGGACUAAGACAUGCGAGUUGUGCGUCUCUAAGCUAUGGUAGAGACGCAGCGUACGGCUCAGUAACACGUGGCUAACCUACCCUUAGGACGGGGACAACCCCGGGAAACUGGGGCUAAUACCCGAUAGGUGAGGAGGCCUGGAAUGGUUCCUAGUCGAAAAGGCGUUGAAACCAUGCUUUUCGACGUCGCCUAAGGAUGGGGCCGCGCCCGAUCAGGUUGUUGGUGGGGUAACGGCUCACCAAGCCUAUAACCGGUACGGGCCGUGAGAGCGGGAGCCCGGAGAUGGGCACUGAGAUAAGGGCCCAGGCCCUACGGGGCGCAGCAGUCGCGAAAACUCCGCAAUGCGCGAAAGCGUGACGGGGCUAUCCCGAGUGCCGUCCGCUGAGGAUGGCUUUUCCCCGGUGUAAUGAGCCGGGGGAAUAAGGAGAGGGCAAGACUGGUGUCAGCCGCCGCGGUAAUACCAGCUCUCCGAGUGGUAGGGAUGAUUAUUGGGCUUAAAGCGUCCGUAGCCGGCUUAGCAAGUCUCCUGUUAAAUUCAGCGACCUAAUCGUUGAGCCGCGGGAGAUACUACUAGGCUAGGAGGCGGGAGAGGCCGACGGUAUUCUCGGGGUAGGGGUGAAAUCCUAUAAUCCCGGGAGGACCACCAGUGGCGAAGGCUGUCGGCUAGAACGCGCUCGACGGUGAGGGACGAAAGCUGGGGGAGCGAACCGGAUUAGAUACCCGGGUAGUCCCAGCUGUAAACGAUGCGGGCUAGGUGUUGGGGUGGCUACGAGCCACUUCAGUGCCGCAGGGAAGCCAUUAAGCCCGCCGCCUGGGGAGUACGGUCGCAAGGCUGAAACUUAAAGGAAUUGGCGGGGGAGCACCACAAGGCGUGAAGCUUGCGGUUC